GACGAACGCUGGCGGCGUGCUUAACACAUGCAAGUCGAACGGAGUGGCGCACGGGUGAGUAACACGUGGGUGAUCUGCCUUGCACUUCGGGAUAAGCUUGGGAAACUGGGUCUCAUACCGGAUAGGGUAAGCUGGGCUCGCGGCCUAUCAGCUUGUUGGUGGGGUAAUGGCCGACCAAGGCGUCGACGGGUAGCCGGCCUGAGAGGGUGUACGGCCACAUUGGGACUGCGAGACGGCCCAGACUCCUACGGGAGGCAGCAGUGGGGAAUCUUGCACAAUGGGCGGAAGUCUGAUGCAGCGACGCUGGGUGUGGGAUGAAGGCCUGCGGGUUGGAAACUCCUUUCGACAGGGACGCGGUACCUGUAUAAGAAGCACCGGCUAACUACGUGCCAGCAGCCGCGGUAAUUC
RNAcentral lists this ribosomal RNA (408 nucleotides) under uncultured bacterium. RNAcentral describes it as "partial 16S ribosomal RNA". It matches the Rfam family "Bacterial small subunit ribosomal RNA", at positions 28 to 526 of the family's 1533-position model. The record is from RNAcentral.